RNAcentral lists this ribosomal RNA (264 nucleotides) under uncultured archaeon. RNAcentral's name for it is "partial 16S ribosomal RNA". It matches the Rfam family "Archaeal small subunit ribosomal RNA", at positions 718 to 982 of the family's 1478-position model. The record is from RNAcentral.
AGUCACUGACAUUAGAUACCCCUGUAGUCCAGGGUGUAAACGCUGCAGACUUGGUGUUGGGAACCCUUCGGGGGUGCUCAGUGCCGGAGAGAAGUUGUUAAGUCUGCUACUUGGGGAGUACGUCCGCAAGGAUGAAACUUAAAGGAAUUGGCGGGGGAGCACCGCAACGGGAGGAGCGUGCGGUUUAAUUGGAUUCAACGCCGAAAACUCACCAGCAGCGACUGUUACAUGAAAGUCAGGUUGAUGACCUUACUAGAUUUUCAG